CCUACGGGGGGCAGCAGUCGAGAAUCAUUCACAAUGGGCGAAAGCCUGAUGGUGCAACGCCGCGUGGAGGAUGACGGCCUUCGGGUUGUAAACUCCUGUCAUCUGGGAGUAAUCCUUGUUCGUUAAUAGCGUGCAAGGUUGAUAGUACCAGAAGAGGAAGGGACGGCUAACUUCGUGCCAGCAGCCGCGGUAAUACGAAGGUCCCAAGCGUUGUUCGGAAUCACUGGGCGUAAAGCGUGCGUAGGCGGCGAGGUAAGUCAGAUGUGAAAUCUCCGGGCUCAACCCGGAAACUGCAUCCGAUACUGCCUUGCUAGAGUAAUGGAGGGGUAGCUGGAAUUCUCGGUGUAGCAGUGAAAUGCGUAGAUAUCGAGAGGAACACUCGUGGCGAAAGCGAGCUACUGGACAUUUACUGACGCUGAGGCACGAAGGCCAGGGUAGCG
RNAcentral lists this ribosomal RNA (440 nucleotides) under uncultured bacterium. Its description in RNAcentral is "bacterial SSU rRNA". It matches the Rfam family "Bacterial small subunit ribosomal RNA", at positions 338 to 770 of the family's 1533-position model. The record is from RNAcentral.